Long non-coding RNA from Eleginops maclovinus (Patagonian blennie), 686 nucleotides. RefSeq lists it as uncharacterized. NCBI's taxonomy places the organism in Eukaryota, Metazoa, Chordata, Actinopteri, Perciformes, Eleginopidae. The record is from RefSeq and is a predicted model, not a curated record. The transcript is spliced from 3 exons.
GUCUCUUUUUAAUAAGAUAGUAAUUGUCGACACCAGUCCACCCUUCCACAGCACCCAUGACAAAGGCUGUCUUUUACAUAAGCUUGAAUUUAUAAACGUUGAUAAAACAACCGUUAAAUAAAACCGAAUGAAAAUGAAUUGGUUCUUCAGGAAAACAUGGCUAACAUGAGAGGCUUUCCUGUGUGUUACCUGGUCGAGAGCUAUUUGACAGCGCUUACAAACGAGGAAUUAAGCAGUAAAAGUGCAGGAGAACAACAGUGAUUCCUCCUCUGAAGGUCAGCAAGUGGCGACCCUGUUUACUAAGCCUUCGUACCCACCGAGGGUCCUCGAUCACGACUUCAACUCCAACCCCCGUCAGUCUGCCAGCAGGAGCAGAGGGCAGCUGCACCAACACUUGCAUCAGACGACCCCUGCUAAAAGAUUUAAGCCUCGUCACAGGGACCCUCGUGAUGGAGGGGGAAGCGAAUGUGCAGCUGACUAAAGGGCACAGACGCAGAGACAGAUGCUGCUGCUGCUGCUGCUCACAGACUGUACAGCUGCUGAGACUGCUCUGCCAGGAGCAUCAUACCACCCCACCCCACAAACACACACUCUCCUAUUGGCUGUGAUGCUGAUUUCUUACCCUACAAAUGCUUUUAAUUUGUUUUAAAUACAUGUUUGCUGUAAGCUACUCAUUGAACAUUAAA